Molecule: long non-coding RNA, 1002 nt
Filed under: Chloebia gouldiae (Gouldian finch)
Lineage: Eukaryota; Metazoa; Chordata; Aves; Passeriformes; Passeridae
Description: Erythrura gouldiae (Gouldian finch) lncRNA (ENSEGOG00005014810.1)
Source: RNAcentral
ACGGCGCUGCAGCGCGGAGGCCGCGGCGGCAGAGAGGUAAGAUGGCGGCGGCGCCUUCUGCUCACAAUGGGGCCCGGUGUGCCCCUCAGCCCGGCCCCCGAGUUCUUCUCCGGGGUUCCUCCGACCUGCACCGUCUCGGGGGCGUGUCUCCUCUCGCUCACCGCUCCGGUAGCGCUGCCUGGCCGCCUCUCAGGGAUGCCCCUCACGCCCGCCGCCCGCGGACAAAAUGGCGGCUCCUGGGCGGCAGGAGUGCGCAUGCGCGGGAGCGCGGCGGCGGAGCACGUGCGCGGGCGGGAGAGCGCCGGGACGGGCCGCGGGAGGGAGGCUGAGAUAGACCGGGAGGGGCACCGGGAGACAGGGGGGUGCACUGAGAGAAGCGAUCCCCCGCAGAUUUCUGCAGGGCGGAAAGUUCCCUCGAGCAUUAUUGGGAAUUACCUCCAUAGGAGCAGCCUCAUCUUCUGCUAAAAGGCGUCAGCAUGAACAGGAUCCGGAUUCACGUGUUGCCGACGAGCCGAGGCCGCCUGACCCCGGUGCCACGGCCGCAGGAGCCGCUGGCCUGCGCCUUCGCCCCGCGGCCCUGCUCCCAGCCCCGCCUGGAAGGGCAGGAAUUCUGCAUCAAGCACAUCCUUGAGGACAGGAAUGCUCCCUUCAAACAGUGCAGCUACGUGUCCACAAAGAACGGGAAGCGUUGUCCCAAUGCUGCUCCCAAACCCGAGAAGAAGGAUGGGUGAGUGGCUCUUCCUCCUGGUUUUCCAGUUCCAAACUCUAUGGAAGUAAAACAGGCGGGGGGGGGGGAUUAAAAUAGGCAGGGGGAGGUUUUUCUCUUUGUCUUCCCUUUUGAAAGAAUGGCUGGAGCUGUGUCAGGGGAGAUUUAUACUGGAUUUUGGGAAAAGGUUCUUCCCCAGUUGAGCACUUAGGCAGCUCCUCAGCGCAGUGGUCACAUUCACAGCCCUGCCAGAGCCCAAGGAGUGUUUGGAUAAUGCACCCAGGAGCAUGGUGGAG